Molecule: ribosomal RNA, 454 nt
Filed under: uncultured bacterium
Lineage: Bacteria
Description: bacterial SSU rRNA
Rfam family: Bacterial small subunit ribosomal RNA
Source: RNAcentral
UAGUCCACGCCGUAAACGAUGAGAACUAGAUGUUGGGAGCAUUAGGCUUUCGGUGUCGCAGCUAACGCAUUAAGUUCUCCGCCUGGGGAGUACGCCGGCAACGGUAAAACUCAAAGGAAUUGACGGGGACCCGCACAAGCGGUGGAGCAUGUGGUUUAAUUCGAUGCAACGCGAAGAACCUUACCUGCCCUUGACAUACAGUGAACUUUUCAGAGAUGAAUUGGUGCCUUCGGGAACACUGAUACAGGUGCUGCAUGGCUGUCGUCAGCUCGUGUCGUGAGAUGUUGGGUUAAGUCCCGCAACGAGCGCAACCCUUGUCCUUAGUUGCCAGCACGUAAUGGUGGGAACUCUAAGGAGACCGCCGGUGACAAACCGGGAGGAAGGUGGGGACGACGUCAAGUCAUCAUGGCCCUUAUGGGGCAGGGGCUACACACGUGCUACAAUGGGGGAGUAC